AGGUUGCAACAAACCGCGCUCAAACGAGCGGGCUCAAACGUACGUUGUUCCUUCUCUUCUAGCUCCAAGCUUUUUCCCUUAAACAAAUAUCCAAGAAGCCGUCGAACUCAGCCCUGCGUCGCCGUCGAACUCAGCCCUGCGUCGCCGUCGAACCCAAGCGUUGCUCAGCCCUGCGUCGCUGUCUUCGCCGGUGUGUGGUGUUCUCGCCUCAUCUCCCCCAUCCCGUUCAAUUCUCGCGCGGCCUGUCACUGAAAGAUAUAUUCUUGGUCGGCCGGGGGUUCAGCAUCUCUCCGUCGCGUCGUGGUUCCGGUGGUUGCUCGGCGUCGUGGUUCCGGUGUUUUCGCACGGGAAAGUAUCGGAUAAAACAGAUGUUUAUGCCUUUGGAGUUGUUCUUUUAGAGCUAAUAACAGGCUGAAAGCCAAUUGAAUCACUAAGGCCAUCCAGAGAAGAGAACUUGGUUCAAUUGAAACUGCUACGGAGACAGAAUAGAUUACAGACAACAGGAGAAUCCAUAUCCCCUCUAAUGAAUCACAUCCUCAUGUUGCUCAAAUUUUAUGCUAAAGGCUAUCACUUCUACUGGGACAAAGAAGGGCGAGUUGUUUUUGGCUGAUGUCAGCACUAAGUUGACAAACAAGAAUAUUACCACCGAUGUGAAAGUUGAUACCAACUCCAAUCUUUUCACCACCAUUACGUUGAUGAACCUGCCCCUGGCAUGAAGGCUAUUUUUAGUUUCCGUGUUCCUGAUCAGAGAUCUGGCAAGGUCUACACUCCGAGGAUUGCGCCUUAUGCGAGGAAUUUGAUGUGGUUCGUGAGCAAUGGGCUAAGUUUUUUACCAACAAGUAUUUAUUAUUGGCUUUAGCGCGCUUGAUCGAGUUGGUUUAGUUGUUAUAGAAUAAAUUUUAUAUUAAAAUGUAUGUUUAUGUUGAAAUUGGAACAUAUAUUUAAAUGUAAUAUGUGCACUUUGGUUUUGGGAUAUAUAGUAUACAAAACUCCAGUUGUUGUUUUUAUAUUUGUUAUACAGGUUGCGUUAUUCUAUUAUUGUUUUGACAGGUUUCUAUAUUUGGUGCAAGGCACUCUAGGUAUCCCUAAACAAAAUUAGAAUUUUCCCGCCAAAAGUGUUUUUUUGCAGCGUACAUAUAUGUUGUACGCUGCAACAAGGGAAAAAAAUUUCGCAAAAAUUCAGACUUGUUGCAGCGUACAAAUAA
RNA transcript from Spinacia oleracea (spinach), 1205 nucleotides. RefSeq lists it as uncharacterized. NCBI's taxonomy places the organism in Eukaryota, Viridiplantae, Streptophyta, Magnoliopsida, Caryophyllales, Amaranthaceae. The transcript is spliced from 6 exons. The record is from RefSeq and is a predicted model, not a curated record.